Molecule: small RNA, 125 nt
Filed under: Marmota monax (woodchuck)
Lineage: Eukaryota; Metazoa; Chordata; Mammalia; Rodentia; Sciuridae
Source: RNAcentral
GCCGGGCGCAGUGGCACACGCCUGUGAUCCCAGCAGCUUGGGAGGCUGAGACAGGAAGAUCGCGAGGUCAGAAUCAGCCUGGAUAAGGAGGAGAUGCUAAGCAACUCAGUGAGACCCUGUCUCUA